GACGAACGCUGGCGGUGUGCUUAACACAUGCAAGUCGAACGGAAAGGCACUGCUUUUGUGGGGUGCUCGAGUGGCGAACGGGUGAGUAACACGUGAGUAACCUGCUCUAGACUUUGGGAUAACUUCAGGAAACUGGGGUUAAUAUCGGAUAGGAGCUCCUGUUGCAUGGUGGGGGGUGGAAAGUUGCGGCGGUUGGGGAUGGACGCGCGGCUUAUCAGCUUGUUGGUGGGGUAGUGGCUUACCAAGGCUUUGACGGGUAGCCGGCCUGAGAGGGUGACCGGCCACAUUGGUACUGAGAUACGGACCAGACUCCUACGGGAGGCAGCAGUGGGGAAUAUUGCACAAUGGGCGGAAGCCUGAUGCAGCAACGCCGCGUGCGGGAUGACGGCCUUCGGGUUGUAAACCGCUUUCGCCUGUGACGAAGCGUGAGUGACGGUAAUGAGUGAAGAAGCACCGGCUAACUACGUG
This 468-nucleotide ribosomal RNA is filed under the name uncultured bacterium. RNAcentral describes it as "partial 16S ribosomal RNA". It matches the Rfam family "Bacterial small subunit ribosomal RNA", at positions 28 to 507 of the family's 1533-position model. The record is from RNAcentral.